RNAcentral lists this ribosomal RNA (363 nucleotides) under Clostridioides difficile. RNAcentral describes it as "bacterial LSU rRNA". It matches the Rfam family "Bacterial large subunit ribosomal RNA", at positions 1084 to 1454 of the family's 2925-position model. The record is from RNAcentral. Lineage: Bacteria; Bacillati; Bacillota; Clostridia; Peptostreptococcales; Peptostreptococcaceae.
CACAGACAACCAGGAUGUUGGCUUAGAAGCAGCCACUCAUUCAAAGAGUGCGUAAUAGCUCACUGGUCGAGUGAUCCUGCGCCGAAGAUUUCCGGGGCUAAAACUUACUACCGAAGCUACGGCAUCAGUAAUGAUGGGUAGGGGAGCUUCCCAUAUGGGUUGAAGCAUGACCGUAAGGACAUGUGGACAGUAUGGGAGGGAGAAUGUUGGCAUGAGUAGCGAGAUGUGGGUGAGAAUCCCACAGGCCGUAAACCCAAGGUUUCCAGGGGAAGGUUCGUCCGCCCUGGGUUAGUCGGGACCUAAGCUGAGGCCGAAAGGCGUAGGUGAUGGACAACAGGUUGAUAUUCCUGUACUACCGAUAAC